Molecule: ribosomal RNA, 254 nt
Filed under: uncultured bacterium
Lineage: Bacteria
Description: partial 16S ribosomal RNA
Rfam family: Bacterial small subunit ribosomal RNA
Source: RNAcentral
UACGUAGGGUGCAAGCGUUGUCCGGAAUUAUUGGGCGUAAAGAGCUCGUAGGCGGUUUGUCGCGUCUGCCGGUGAAAGUCCGGGGCUCAACUCCGGAUCUGCGGUGGGUACGGGCAGACUAGAGUGAUGUAGGGGAGACUGGAAUUCCUGGUGUAGCGGUGAAAUGCGCAGAUAUCAGGAGGAACACCGAUGGCGAAGGCAGGUCUCUGGGCAUUAACUGACGCUGAGGAGCGAAAGCAUGGGGAGCGAACAGG